RNAcentral lists this ribosomal RNA (650 nucleotides) under Choanephora cucurbitarum. Its description in RNAcentral is "partial large subunit ribosomal RNA". It matches the Rfam family "Eukaryotic large subunit ribosomal RNA", at positions 52 to 664 of the family's 3401-position model. Lineage: Eukaryota; Fungi; Mucoromycota; Mucoromycetes; Mucorales; Choanephoraceae. The record is from RNAcentral.
GGAGGAAAAGAAAAUAACAAUGAUUUCCCUAGUAACGGCGAGUGAACAGGAAAGAGCUCAAAGUUGGAACCUGUUUGGUUUAGCCAAACCGGAUUGUAAACUGUAGAAGUGUUUUCCUGGCACGCCUGACGAAAAAGUCCAUUGGAACAUGGUGACAUAGAGGGUGAGAGCCCCGUAUUUUGUCAGAGCUGUUGUCUCUUGUGAUACACUUUCAAAGAGUCAGGUUGUUUGGGAAUGCAGCCUAAAUUGGGUGGUAAAUCUCACCUAAAGCUAAAUAUUGGCAAAAGACCGAUAGCGAACAAGUACCGUGAGGGAAAGAUGAAAAGAACUUUGAAAAGAGAGUUAAACAGUAUGUGAAAUUGUUAAAAGGGAACCGUUUGGAGCCAGACUGGCUUGAUUGUAAUCAAUCUAGAUUUCGAUCUGGAUGCACUUGCAGUCUAUGCCUGCCAACGACAAUUCAUUCUGGAGGAAAAAACUAAGUGGAAUGUGGCCCCUCGGGGUGUUAUAGACUCUUAGAAAAUACUCUGGUUUGGAUUGAGGAACGCAGUGAAUGCUAUUUGGCGAAGAUGCUGGGUGCUUUUAUUUUUGUUGUCUAGAAUUUCUGCUUCGGGUGGUGCUAGAUACCACGAGUAAAACUCGCCUAGUAUACU